GCACUCCGUCGAGCCCCCGGGUCUCGGCGCCGGAGCCUGCUAGCCUCCUUCCUUGAACACGAUCGUCACACCUGGUGCACCCCUUUCGUCUGCCUCUGGGGCUCGGUGACCAUUCAGCCCUACCCCGCCUGCUGCGUGGAAGAGGCUCCUCCUCAGGUGGCUCGGCCGGGGCCUUCCCCUGCAGACCUGUCACCCGACACCCAGGAAGCGCGCGGCCCCAUCCCGGCUCCUCUUUGUUCCCCCGCUGGGCUCCGCGCUCCGGCGCCACCUCCUCCCGCCAAGGUCCUGGUGAUUUGGGGCGCCGCUCUCGGCUCAACCUGGGCACGCCUCAAGUUCUGUCCAUUGGGCCCGCUCCAAACGAGGGCCCUUUUUUUGCCUAGUUCCUCGGGUGUGGACUCGGAGCAGAGCUGGGAGGCGGCGGUGAGCCCAGCCCGGAGCCGGCGCAGGGCACCUGGUACCAGAGGCAAGGGCCUCCAUCCUGCCUUCUCUCGUGGCAGCCGCUGUAGCAACCACUGACGCAACCGCCCCAGCCCUCCCUUGGCUCUGUAGCCUCUACCGUCCUCCAAAGUACUCUCAGAACCUUCCAGAGGCUGCUUCCGAGGGCUCCUGCCAGAAACAGUUCACCCUGGCUCCUUCCGAGCUGCCUCCUUGUCUGAAGGAGCCCCCUGCCCUGAUCCUGGCCCUGGUCAAGCCACAAAGGUGCCCAUCGGGGACACUUUGCAGUCCUGCCUUCUGGGCCUCUGCUUGUGUCACUGGGCAAGCCAGGACUGCUGGCCUCUGUGCCGAGAGGCCAUGAGAAGCACAUUGGAUGUUCUUGUCACUGCCCACUUGGGAGUAGGUGAGGUCCAGUGCCCUAGGUUAUGAGGAUCUGGCAACUGCUUGCUGACCUUGGCAGGAAGGUGGCUUGUUUGGGUGAUGGUAUUGGGAUGUGAUGGGAAACUCUGCUGCCCUCUGCAAGUCCAAGAAAUCAGACUUUCUC
This 979-nucleotide long non-coding RNA is filed under the name Mus musculus (house mouse). Its description in RNAcentral is "microRNA cluster 35, host gene, transcript variant 2 (Mirc35hg)". Lineage: Eukaryota; Metazoa; Chordata; Mammalia; Rodentia; Muridae. The record is from RNAcentral.